RNAcentral lists this ribosomal RNA (497 nucleotides) under uncultured bacterium. RNAcentral describes it as "partial 16S ribosomal RNA". It matches the Rfam family "Bacterial small subunit ribosomal RNA", at positions 28 to 507 of the family's 1533-position model. The record is from RNAcentral.
GAUGAACGAGGGGGGGGGGAAGAAUACAGGCAAGUCGAGCGAACAGAUGAGGAGCUUGCUCCUCUGACGUUAGCGGCGGACGGGUGAGUAACACGUGGAUAACCUACCUAUAAGACUGGGAUAACUUCGGGAAACCGGAGCUAAUACCGGAUAAUAUAUUGAACCGCAUGGUUCAAUAGUGAAAGACGGUUUUGCUGUCACUUAUAGAUGGAUCCGCGCCGCAUUAGCUAGUUGGUAAGGUAACGGCUUACCAAGGCAACGAUGCGUAGCCGACCUGAGAGGGUGCUGGGCCACACUGGAACUGAGACACGGUCCAGACUCCUACGGGAGGCAGCAGUAGGGAAUCUUCCGCAAUGGGCGAAAGCCUGACGGAGCAACGCCGCGUGAGUGAUGAAGGUCUUCGGAUCGUAAAACUCUGUUAUUGGGGAAGAACAAAUGUGUAAGUAACUAUGCACGUCUUGACGGUACCUAAUCAGAAAGCCCCGGCUCCCUACGUU